Non-coding RNA from Lingula anatina, 73 nucleotides. NCBI's taxonomy places the organism in Eukaryota, Metazoa, Brachiopoda, Lingulata, Lingulida, Lingulidae. The record is from Rfam.
GGUUCCGUAGUGUAGUGGUUAUCACGUCUGCUUUACACGCAGAAGGUCCUGGGUUCGAUCCCCAGCGGAACCA